GGGGCUGUAGCUCAGUGGUAGAGCACCUGCCUCGCACAUUGGAGGCACUGGGUUCGAUUCUCAGCACCA
RNAcentral lists this transfer RNA (69 nucleotides) under Ictidomys tridecemlineatus (thirteen-lined ground squirrel). Its description in RNAcentral is "Spermophilus tridecemlineatus (thirteen-lined ground squirrel) tRNA". It matches the Rfam family "tRNA". From Rfam's summary of the family: Transfer RNA (tRNA) molecules are approximately 80 nucleotides in length. Their secondary structure includes four short double-helical elements and three loops (D, anti-codon, and T loops). Further hydrogen bonds mediate the characteristic L-shaped molecular structure. tRNAs have two regions of fundamental functional importance: the anti-codon, which is responsible for specific mRNA codon recognition, and the 3' end, to which the tRNAs corresponding amino acid is attached (by aminoacyl-tRNA synthetases). tRNAs cope with the degeneracy of the genetic code in two manners: having more than one tRNA (with a specific anti-codon) for a particular amino acid; and 'wobble' base-pairing, i.e. permitting non-standard base-pairing at the 3rd anti-codon position. The record is from Rfam by way of RNAcentral. Lineage: Eukaryota; Metazoa; Chordata; Mammalia; Rodentia; Sciuridae.